AUGAAGUUCUUCAUCUUUACCUGCCUUUUGGCUGUUGCUCUGGCACAUCAUGAGAUAAAGCACUCCUCCUCUUCCAGUGAGGAA
This 84-nucleotide small RNA is filed under the name Pan troglodytes (chimpanzee). RNAcentral describes it as "transcribed unitary pseudogene". Lineage: Eukaryota; Metazoa; Chordata; Mammalia; Primates; Hominidae. The record is from RNAcentral.